This is a long non-coding RNA of Labrus mixtus (cuckoo wrasse), 4224 nucleotides long. RefSeq lists it as uncharacterized. The transcript is spliced from 2 exons. Lineage: Eukaryota; Metazoa; Chordata; Actinopteri; Labriformes; Labridae. The record is from RefSeq and is a predicted model, not a curated record.
UGUUGUAUGGAGGUUAAGCAUUUUGUAGUGUGGAAUAAUUUAAUAGAGUUACUGAAAGGCUGAAUCUUGUCCAUCUUAAGGAGUUCUACAGGAAGACUACAUCAAAAAUAUUUUGCUCAUCUAACUGUAUUCUGAAACACAGCACUUCAACUGGCUUUCUAAUAAAAAAAAACAAAUAAAAACUAAGUGGUCUGAGCCUCUAAUGUUCCGAUGUUGCGUGGCCUCAAUUAUCUGCUUGUAAUCCAGUCUGCCUGGAGGUUGUGCCCAUGUCUGCCACUUUCGUCACCCGGUUGUCAGCAGUUGUCCCCCAAUGUCUAUUUCGGAUGCUUAUUUACAGCUUGUCUAUUCUGAACGGGGAGUGGGGAAGCACGGAGGGGGUUGGAGGUCCAGGAGACAAUAGAUAAGACAGUGGUGGAGCUGAGUCGACAGCUCCCCAGCUAGUUUUACACUUAAAGAGUGGAGGGGUAUUUAUAUUCAGCUGGUAAGGCAGGUUAUUGAAUUUGCACAGCGAUGACUGAUGCAUGCAGAGUACAGGGGUAACACUAGACAUUGUGGUUGUGUUGUGACGACAAGUGAGAAAUUUCAAUGGGGCCGCACGCCAAACAACAACCCGACCGAGAAGAUGGCGUCUCCCCAACCGGCAAAGUAGGACAAAGACACCUGUUCCUUGUCCCUACUUCUCUUGUGGUUUUAAUUUGGCCCUUGCUCUACUUAUUUCUUUUCCACCAGACCAAGACUUUUUAUUACUCUCACACCAUUCCCUCUUCCUCACCCCUCAAUCUGUCAAUCUCUUUCUCCCUUUCUCCCAAAAUGCCAUAACUGCAAACCUGGCACGAGCCGCGGAUAAAUGAUUCCACACGUGAAAUAAAGGCACGACGCUUAUUAUAGGCAUUACAGACUGCGUUCUUUAUGGAUUGCACCCUUUCAGAGGGGAUAAAAAGAGGCUUUUCAAGCAAGCUGAAACAAUGACGAGCAAUAAACCAAAUAUGCUGAAAGGAGACUUGCCGAGAAAGGCGUUGACAACAUCGUUAAAGCUGUAGAGAAAUGAACCAGGGGUGCUGAACAAAAACCAAAAGAGACUCAGUUUCAGGUGGCAAGCCGCAGAGUCACCUUCCCUUUGGCCAAAACAUUAUAGGCCACAUGUUAAACUGCACUCCCCAUAAGCAGCAGCAGCAGCAGCACCACUAGAGCCUCAUACUGCUGCAGCAGCGCUACAUAGAGACAUCUUUCUCUUAAUACAAUUCAUUCAUGGCAGGUUCUGUCAGAUAAAGCUCGGAGAUGCACUUCAGGGAGACGCAGGGCUCCAUCUGUUCUGCGGCAUUGUGGUUUUGAUGCAGCGUCUUCCUUGUACUUCAACUGUUUACAUAUCACACAAACUCCGGAAAUGCUCAAUUAGUUAAUUCAGAUAUUUAAUUUGUGCAUCAAGGGAUGUGAUCCGUAUGAUCUCUGGAGCUGUGCCAUGUUUGGAUUCACAGCUGUCUGCUGUGAAAUUUACCACCUAACCCCCCUUAAACUCCCCCCAUCUAAAAAAAAAAAAAAAGAAGAAAAAUCCACACCCAUCCCAAGCGCUAAUGGGAGUCUGAGUUACCCCCGCUCUCUCAGACAGAAGCAUCACUGCAUUAGUCUCUGCAUUUUAAAACAGCUAUGGUCGUCUACGCUGCGUUAAGGAAUACUGCAUAUAUGUGUGUGUUUGUGGAUGUAUGUGUGUAGAUGUGUGUGAGACAGUUAAUGAGGAAUGUCUGCUGUUCUAAAUAAUACAAGAGAGGGGAACCUUUAGAUUGUCUUCUUUGUUUCCUCUCUUUCUUGUCUUCUCUUCCUCUUAAUGUCAGACAGUCUGUCAUUGAAAGUCACACAGACACAUCCUAUUGCACUUAACAGAAGAAAAAAAAAAUCCCUUUUUUUUCUCACAGGACAUCUAACAAAGUCAGGACUUUCUUAAUAAAUAUAAUGCAGAACUCAACUUUUACCCAACAAACGCUGAGAAAUCUGCACAAUUUAUAGCCAUACCUACACGCAUACACACUAAGCACCUCUUGUCCUUAUAUACUGCAUCCCCUCCACCUACACUUCACACUCUGCACACAAACACCAAGUCAUAAAUCGCAGCAUUAAGUCAAAUAAUGAUUGCACUGCAUUGAAAAUUCAAUGGCUGGGGCUUAAUGCCCAUGAAUCGCCAGGUAGAUUAAGCUAUGGGUGUGUAUUUGUGUGUGCUUCAUGAGUGUGUAAGGUGCGGGGGGGGGGGGGGGGGGGUGUUAAUGGAUCAAUAGGAGUUCUAUGAUCAGUACCUCACAGACAGGAACCUCACAGACAGUCUGCUCACACAACACAUAUUGCAUUUUGGAUGGCAUGCAUUUACACUGUCUUCAAAAAAGAGAGUGGAGUAGCGGGAACGGAGCAGGCUGGAGGCUGCAUGUGUGUGUAUGUAAGUGUGCUUAAGUGCGCAGGUAAAGAUAUCACUCUCAUGCAUUUGUAUGUGUGUGUCCGUGUUAGUACGCCUGUUUUAACCUGAUUGCAUGUGUGUGUGUGUGUGUGAGGAGGAAGGGUUACUUUCGGGAGAUGCUGUUCCCUGGGCAGCAUCUGUAUUAGUGAUCUAAUGUUCAUGUGAAUAAUUGAUUAGGACCUCUCUGUGUUUUUGAUAAUUAGUUGAUAGCUUCUUAGCUCUAAGCCCUAAGAUUUCACGUAUGUGUGUGUGAGAGAGAGGAAGUAUGAGAUUGUGUGUAUGUGGUUGGGGGUAGGUAGUCCACAUCUAAAGGUAUCCUGAAAACAAUAGCUCUCAUAAAGAGAAAAAAAAAAAAGGUUUCCUCUAAGCCAUGCACACAUGGAUUAGCUUUCUUCUGAAAUGAGGCAACAUUACUUUUAUUUAUUUUUUUCACAUAACCUCAUUUAAUUUUGUAGUCUCUUACCUGUGAACUCUAAAAAAGUAAAGAGAAACUUCAGAUGAACAAUCUCAGAUAUUUCAUGUAUGAUUAAAAAUUUAAAAAAAGCUGCAGAACCAUGACAUUUCCAAUUUUUCAACAUAUUCACUUAACCAGAGCAAACAACAAUAAACAUUGCAUGUAUGAAAAGAUUUCAAUUGAUAUUCAUUUCUAGCCUCUCAGUGGUCCCCUGCCUUAUUGAUUUUUCUAUCUUUCAUAUGCUUAUGCAUCAAGUAAAAACAGAAUAGGAAAGUUUCAGCACGCUUAGAUCAUACUCAAAUCCCAGCACUGAAGUAGAGGGUUUGUUGCCAUCGUCUGCGACCUUGAAAAAUAAAGAUGUUCUGCUGCAACACACAGACCCAUAGAGAUACUUUGUUUUUUUAUGGUCUCAUGCAUGCAUAGAAUGGUUUCUUUCAGAUGUGUGUGUGUGUGUGUGUGUGUGUGUGUGUGUGUGUGUGUGUGUGUGUGUGUGUGUGUGUGUGUGUGUGUGUGUGUGUGUGUUCGGUAUGUUUAGCUGGCUUAUGCUUACAAUAUCAUGAUAAAUGCUUUAAUCAAUCCAAGGAUUAUUAGAUUAAUAAGCAAAUACAUUCAUUCAUUGCAUCAAUGGUUUGUGAUAAGAGGCAGCUACAGCAUUUCCUGUGUCUUUUAGUGGCCUUACAUGACUGAUAUGCUGAGGCAGAGCAGGAAGACCUUAUUAGAAGGACGUCUUGUUUCCUCUUAUCUGGACGAGGCUCAGUACAAAGGGAUGCUGUUUAGGAUAAAACGUCGUAUAAGGGGGCAAGUAGAAGAAGAGGGCACGUCCAAUCACAGGCUGAGUUUUUGUUUUCUCCUUUUAAAUGGAAGCUCGGGACAAUGGAGAAUGUCAGGAUGUGACAACGGACGACAAGAUGUAAAGAGAUGAGGAGAGGGAGAGGAGCAUGGCCAAUCAAAAGCAGAGUGUUCACAGGGUCAAAGGUCAAUCUCCAGAGUCGGUUAAUGUCGUCACCGUGGGAACCGAUCAAUCUCAGGGCUGCGGCAGUAUCGAUCAGGCGUUGGCACACAUGGACACGCAAUAAUUAUUUUUGACACACACACACACACACACACACCACCCAGCUUUCAUUUACUUUUACAAAGUGUCGUCUGCUCUCAGUCAAACAAAAAGCGACUUUAAAUGCAUUGUCAGGCGCAGGCUCAAUCAAAGCUGCUCAACUAAGAGGCUGUGGACAAAACUGGGCGACAGAAACUGUUUGAAAUUUCAACUGCAAGUAGAAAUAAAGUUCUUUCUUUGUCCCAGGCUUGUAUUGUAAAAAAAGACAUUUGUCGAGAA